AUGGUGGUCAGAGCUGCACUGCUCCCUGUAACCUUGCUGCUGUGCCUUGCACUGCCCGGCAGCGCCGACGCCAGAAGGACGGCGGACGGUUUCUAUGAGCUCAAGAACAAGAAGGGGGACUUCUCCAUCAAGGUCACCAACUGGGGAGCUACCCUCGUAUCUGUCCUCGUCCCUGAUUGCCAUGGGGACUUGACCGAUGUUGUACUUGGGUACGACACUGUUGCUGCAUACGCUAAAGGCGCUGCUGCCGGAUCGACUAUUGGGCGCGUAGCAAACAGAAUCGCCAACGCCCGCUUCGUGCUCGACGGCAGAACCUAUCGUCUCCUCCAUAACGACGGCAACAACACGAUUCAUGGCGGCCCCAGGGGCUUCAACAAGGUCAUCUGGACGGUGAAGGAGUACGUGCACGACGGCGACUCCCCGUACAUCACCUUCUACUACGGCAGCUUCGACGGAGAGCAAGGGUUCCCGGGGUACCUGGACGUGUAUGUGACGUACCGGCUCUCCGACCCGUACGACCUGAGCAUCAACAUGAACGCGACGGCGACGAGCAAGGCGACGCCGGUGAACCUUGUGAACCACGCGUACUGGAACCUCGCUGGCCACGGCAGCGGCGACGUCCUGGAGCACGAGCUCCAGAUGUUCGCCUCACGCUACACGCCCGUCGACGGGUACAUGAUCCCGACGGGCCAGGUCGCGCCCGUGGCCGGCACAAAGUACGACUUCCUCACGCCGACGCCCGUGGGAGCCAACAUGGAGAUCGUCCCGGGCGGCGGCGGCGGGUACGACAUCAACUUCGCCGUGGACGGGCAGCAGGACGCGAUGCGGCCGGUGGCGCGCGUCCAGGACCCGGACUCCGGCCGGGCGUUGGAGCUGUGGGCGAACCAGCCCGGGGUGCAGCUCUACACCGCCAACUGGCUCAGCAACGACAAGGGGAAAGGAGGGAAGGUGUACGGGCAGUACGGCGCGCUGUGCCUGGAGACGCAGGCGUACCCCGACGCCGUCAACCACCCUGAGUUCCCGUCGUCGAUCGUCAGGCCCGGCGAGGUGUACAAGCAUGAUAUGGUCUUCAAGUUUUCCCACUAG
This 1086-nucleotide ribosomal RNA is filed under the name Triticum aestivum (bread wheat). RNAcentral's name for it is "partial small subunit ribosomal RNA". Lineage: Eukaryota; Viridiplantae; Streptophyta; Magnoliopsida; Poales; Poaceae. The record is from RNAcentral.